GUCCAGAUAAAAUAUUGUAUCCCAGCUGAUGAGGCCGGCACAUGAUGACAACACUACAAGCACCAAGAAAAUUGAUGCGAUGGCCUGUCUUAAGUUGGCUUCCUCUAUUGGUCUUUUAUCUGACAAGACACCUUUGGCAAAGUCUCAUCAAUAUGCUACUUUUCAUCUGCCUGACACUGAAAUCAAUGGACUGCAGAAGAAGCCUCUCGAUCAGCAUUGUCAGAAAUGAUCACCAUGCUGGACGGAGCAUGCUACCUGAUUUCUCCUGACUGAACUCCCACAAAAGCAUGGCUGCAAAUCCCAGAGAAAGAAGAAAGAGAACUUACAUAAAGGAGGCUUUCUGGAGAACUCGCUGUAAGAGGGUCAAUGCGGAAAUAUGGAAUGUGCUUAGGAGUCCACUGAAGCAGUCCAGAGGCCACUACCAGCUGUUAGAACAUCCAUCUCCAUCAUGAUCUGAGCAACUGAAAGGAGAGGCUCACCUAAGCUGCCUGAUUGAAGAGAAGAAAUCAGGAGAAGGUUGAAGCAGCAGCCAGGUGGGAGAAAAACCCAUCUUAGCACUGCUGGCAAACCUGGAAACACAGUGAUCCACCAGGUUCAUCGCUGGGUCAUUGGGCAAUCCCCUCUGCCCUGGCACCUUUCACUGCUCUCAUUCAAUCAAUGAACAUGACCAAGUAUCUAUUACACGCAUCAGGUCCCAUGCUAAUUGGGCGGUGGGAAGAGGAUAAGAUAUAAAAGACCCAGUUCUAUAAACUGUCAGCUUUCUGAGAGCUCCAUAUUCCCAGUAUCUAGAACAGUAGAUGGCACACCUUAGCCUCAAGUCAGUAUUUGCUGUUUCAAUUAAGUAACCCUAGUUACUGCCUGGGUAGAAUGGCUUGAUGCCCUGCUUGAGACCAGGAGUUACAGAUUUUAGUUAGAAAACAAGGCUCUUCUCUGCUCUAUUGCCAAUCAGGGGCGAGUUUGUAUCCUCAGAGGGCAGCAGCUGCAUUCCUAGUAUCAUCUUUGCCUCAUCCGCCACUCUGGCACUGCACAAACUGAGCCCCGUGAAGCGCCGCGUUCCCUCUCUCCCUGAAGCGACGCCCCCUUCCUUCUCAGAGGGCCCCCUGAGCUGCGUCCCUCUGCCCCAGAGCUGUGCCUGGCGUCUGGCUGUCAGGAGGCACCGCGGCCCCUCCCGGCAGCUCCCGGCCGUCCUGAGGCAGGCGCCGAGCGGGGUCAGCGGGGAGUCGGGGCUCCCUGGGCCUGUCACUCAGCAAGACUGAGCCAGGGCUCCCUGACAGCCCUCCAGACCCUAGGGGAUAACCGUGUCCGUGUCUGUCUGUGCAUCAGAUCAGAGGGAACGAAGCGCGCUCCCCCGCCUAAUUCCUCCCCUUCCCUGGAAUGUCCACGAGUUCCUGCUAAUGCUAUUGUUUGCUUUUGCUUAUGCACAUAUAAGUCUUUGGUACACACACACUGUUUUGUUGUGGUUUUUCUUUUCCUUUCUAAAGCUAAUAGUUUGUGGUGGGGUGAAGAUACGGCUUUGGGUGUGGAUUCAACUGGGAAAAAGAAAUGCAAGCAGGAUUUAGAAAAUAAUAAAACCACUUAAUACAUUUCCAGAACUGCAAUUAUUGCUAGUGAGAAAAUAUGGAUAGCAAUUAUUUUUAAGUUCAGUGAAUUGAAAAGAUUGGAACUAGAAUAGGAUUUAAGUAAAGAAGAAAUUCCUUCUCUAAACCAAUUUCUGGUUGCUCAAAAUUCCCAGGAUAAACUAAAGUAUGAAAAAAAUGAUGACUUCAUAUUAUCAAAAUAUACAUAGAUUUCUGAUUUGUUUUAAAUACAUUUUAUACUAGUAAAAUUCAUUGAUGGUAGAGAAUGUUUUCCAG
Molecule: long non-coding RNA, 1853 nt
Organism: Homo sapiens (human)
Lineage: Eukaryota; Metazoa; Chordata; Mammalia; Primates; Hominidae
Source: Ensembl